Molecule: ribosomal RNA, 550 nt
Filed under: uncultured eukaryote
Lineage: Eukaryota
Description: SSU rRNA
Rfam family: Eukaryotic small subunit ribosomal RNA
Source: RNAcentral
GUAGUCAUAUGCUUGUCUCAAAGAUUAAGCCAUGCAUGUCUAAGUGUAAGCAAUUAUACCGCGAAACUGCGAAUGGCUCAUUAUAUAAGUUAUAGUUUAUUUGAUAGUACCUUACUACAUGGAUAACCGUGGCAAUUCUAGAGCUAAUACAUGCUAAAAACCCCGACUUCGGAAGGGGUGUAUUUAUUAGAUACAAAACCAAUGCCCCCUGGGCUCUCUGGUGAUUCAUGAUAACUUCUCGAAUCGCACGGCCUUGCGCCGGCGAUGGUUCAUUCAAAUUUCUUCCCUAUCAACUUUCGAUGUUUGGGUAUUGGCCAAACAUGGUUGCAACGGGUAACGGAGGGUUAGGGCUCGACCCCGGAGAAGGAGCCUGAGAAACGGCUACUACAUCCAAGGAAGGCAGCAGGCGCGCAAAUUACCCAAUCCCGACACGGGGAGGUAGUGACAAUAAAUACUGAUACAGGGCUCUUUUGGGUCUUGUAAUUGGAAUGAGUACAAGUUAAAUCCCUUAACGAGGAACAAUUGGGGGGCAAGUCUGGUGCCAGCAGCC